This 474-nucleotide ribosomal RNA is filed under the name Eubothrium crassum. RNAcentral describes it as "SSU rRNA". It matches the Rfam family "Eukaryotic small subunit ribosomal RNA", at positions 784 to 1255 of the family's 1831-position model. The record is from RNAcentral. Lineage: Eukaryota; Metazoa; Platyhelminthes; Cestoda; Bothriocephalidea; Triaenophoridae.
GCUGUUGCCUGAAAAGUUUUGCAUGGAAUAAUGGAAUAGGACUUCGGUUCUAUUUCGUUGGUUUUCGGAUCCGAAGUAAUGAUCAAAAGAGACAAGCGGGGACGUUUGUAUGGCUGCGCUAGAGGUGAAAUUCUUGGACCGUAGCCAGACAGACUAAAGCGAAAGCAUUCGUCAAGCAUGUUUUCAUUGACCAUGAGCGAAAGUCAGAGGCUCGAAGACGAUCAGAUACCGUCCUAGUUCUGACCAUAAACGAUACCAACUGACGAUCCGUGGUGGUAGAAUUUAAACCUUCCUCACGGGCAGUCCCCGGGAAACCAUUAAGUCUAUGGGUUCCGGGGGAAGUAUGGUUGCAAAGCUGAAACUUAAAGGAAUUGACGGAAGGGCACCACCAGGAGUGGAGCCUGCGGCUUAAUUUGACUCAACACGGGAAAACUCACCCGGCCCGGACACUAUGAGGAUUGACAGAUUGAAAGC